Molecule: ribosomal RNA, 465 nt
Filed under: uncultured bacterium
Lineage: Bacteria
Description: partial 16S ribosomal RNA
Rfam family: Bacterial small subunit ribosomal RNA
Source: RNAcentral
CUACGGGUUGCAGCAGUGGGGAAUAUUGGACAAUGGGGGAAACCCUGAUCCAGCAAUGCCGCGUGUGUGAAGAAGGCCUGCGGGUUGUAAAGCACUUUCGGUUGGGAGGACUGCUUCUAGCACUAAUAUUGUUGGAAGUUGACGUUACCUUCAGAAGAAGCACCGGCUAACUCCGUGCCAGCAGCCGCGGUAAUACGGAGGGUGCAAGCGUUAAUCGGAAUUACUGGGCGUAAAGCGCGCGUAGGCGGCUAGAUCAGUCGGGCGUGAAAGCCCCGGGCUUAACCUGGGAACUGCAUCCGAUACUGUAUAGCUUGAGUACAGGAGAGGAGAGUGGAAUUCCACAUGUAGCGGUGAAAUGCGUAGAUAUGUGGAGGAACACCAAUGGCGAAGGCAGCUCUCUGGCCCGAUACUGACGCUGAGGUGCGAAAGCGUGGGGAGCAAAGAGGAUUAGAUACCCUCGUAGUC